CCUACGGGGGGCAGCAGUGGGGAAUAUUGCACAAUGGGGGAAACCCUGAUGCAGCGACGCCGCGUGAGUGAAGAAGUAUUUCGGUAUGUAAAGCUCUAUCAGCAGGGAAGAAAAUGACGGUACCUGAUUAAGAAGCCCCGGCUAACUACGUGCCAGCAGCCGCGGUAAUACGUAGGGGGCAAGCGUUAUCCGGAUUUACUGGGUGUAAAGGGAGCGUAGACGGCAGCACAAGUCUGGAGUGAAAUGCCGGGGCUUAACCCCGGAACUGCUUUGGAAACUGUGCAGCUAGAGUGCAGGAGAGGUAAGUGGAAUUCCUAGUGUAGCGGUGAAAUGCGUAGAUAUUAGGAGGAACACCAGUGGCGAAGGCAGCCUCCUGGGACGCAACUGACGCUCAUACACGAAAGCGUGGGGAGCAAACAGGAUUAGAUACCCUGGUAGUC
This 440-nucleotide ribosomal RNA is filed under the name uncultured bacterium. Its description in RNAcentral is "partial 16S ribosomal RNA". It matches the Rfam family "Bacterial small subunit ribosomal RNA", at positions 338 to 795 of the family's 1533-position model. The record is from RNAcentral.